CCUACGGGAGGCUGCAGUGGGGAAUAUUGGGCAAUGGGCGCAAGCCUGACCCAGCGACGCCGCGUGAGGGAAGACGGUCUUCGGAUUGUAAACCUCUUUCAGCAGGGAAGACAAAAGGACGGUACCUGCAGAAGAAGCCACGGCUAACUACGUGCCAGCAGCCGCGGUAAUACGUAGGUUGCAAGCGUUAUCCGGAAUUACUGGGUGUAAAGGGUGUGUAGGCGGGUUUGCAAGUCAGAUGGGAAAAUUAUGGGCUCAACCCAUAACCUGCGUCUGAAACUAAAGAUAUUGAGAGGUGGGGAGGUAAACGGAAUUCCUGGGGUAGCGGUGAAAUGGGUAGAUAUCGGGAAGAAAA
RNAcentral lists this ribosomal RNA (355 nucleotides) under uncultured bacterium. RNAcentral's name for it is "partial 16S ribosomal RNA". It matches the Rfam family "Bacterial small subunit ribosomal RNA", at positions 338 to 708 of the family's 1533-position model. The record is from RNAcentral.